GUUUUUUGUCCAGGUUUUAAAAGAUGCCUAGGAAACCACGGUACAACGUUAUACGAGAACCCCCGAAAGAUGCCGGAACUAAUGCCAGAACUGAAGAGACAACGAUUGCAUGAUGGUGACUUGCUCAGAGCCAUUGACAAAUACACCUCCUGGAUCUCCUUGUGGUUGUGUGGCCACUUCAAGUUAAACUCCACAUCAGCAUUGCAAUAUACAAGUUCUUCCCUUUGGUUUUCAAGUUAGCUGAGGAAAUUGCAGCCAGUCUUUUGUUGAGUCGCAACCAGGUUCGCA
Arachis ipaensis is the source of this 288-nucleotide non-coding RNA. The record is from RefSeq and is a predicted model, not a curated record. NCBI's taxonomy places the organism in Eukaryota, Viridiplantae, Streptophyta, Magnoliopsida, Fabales, Fabaceae.